This 261-nucleotide ribosomal RNA is filed under the name uncultured archaeon. RNAcentral describes it as "partial 16S ribosomal RNA". It matches the Rfam family "Archaeal small subunit ribosomal RNA", at positions 748 to 1008 of the family's 1478-position model. The record is from RNAcentral.
AGGGUGUAAACGCUGCAGACUUGGUGUUGGAAGUCCUUUGGGGGCAUUCAGUGCCGGAGAGAAGUUGUUAAGUCUGCUACUUGGGGAGUACGUCCGCAAGGAUGAAACUUAAAGGAAUUGGCGGGGGAGCACCGCAACGGGAGGAGCGUGCGGUUUAAUUGGAUUCAACGCCGUAAAACUCACCAGGGAAGACUGUUACAUGAAAGCCGAGAUGAAGACUCUGCUAGAUUUUCAGAGAGGUGGUGCAUGGCGUCAGUGACU